This 148-nucleotide microRNA precursor is filed under the name Erinaceus europaeus (western European hedgehog). RNAcentral describes it as "miRNA (ENSEEUG00000019538.1)". Lineage: Eukaryota; Metazoa; Chordata; Mammalia; Eulipotyphla; Erinaceidae. The record is from RNAcentral.
CAGCAUACCCAGUUAAAUGUAAAUUUUAGGUAUAUACUAUGAGCAGGUCUAAAAAGGUGGAAGUAUGAUCUAUACUAUAUUUGGGACAUAAUUAUACUAAACAACUGUCCAAUAUUUACCUAAGAUGAACACUUAACUUAGAAUCCUG